UGGGACUGAUGGUGUAUCUGCUGAGUUUAACAGAACUGUUUCUGUUGGAGGUCUCCUGGGACUGAUGGUGUAUCUGCUGAGUUUAACAGAACUGUUUCUCACCAGUUGGUCCCUUUUCUGUUGGAGGUCUCCUGGGACUGAUGGUGUAUCUGCUGAGUUUAACAGAACUGUUUCUGUUGGAGGUCUCCUGGGACUGAUGGUGUAUCUGCUGAGUUUAACAGAACUGUUUCUCCCCAGUUAGUCCCUUUUCUGUUGGAGGUCUUUUCUGAAAGCAUUGUAAAUAAUGCUCUCCCUCCCAGUUUGACUCAAGCUCUGACUACAUU
Molecule: long non-coding RNA, 323 nt
Filed under: Salmo salar (Atlantic salmon)
Lineage: Eukaryota; Metazoa; Chordata; Actinopteri; Salmoniformes; Salmonidae
Description: lncRNA (ENSSSAG00000110762.1)
Source: RNAcentral